This 916-nucleotide ribosomal RNA is filed under the name uncultured bacterium. RNAcentral describes it as "bacterial SSU rRNA". It matches the Rfam family "Bacterial small subunit ribosomal RNA", at positions 33 to 940 of the family's 1533-position model. The record is from RNAcentral.
ACGCUGGCGGCAGGCUUAACACAUGCAAGUCGAACGGUAACAGGAGAAAGCUUGCUUUCUUGCUGACGAGUGGCGGACGGGUGAGUAAUGCUUGGGAAUCUGGCUUAUGGAGGGGGAUAACGACGGGAAACUGUCGCUAAUACCGCGUAGAGUCGAGAGACGAAAGUGCGGGACCGCAAGGCCGCAUGCCAUAGGAUGAGCCCAAGUGGGAUUAGGUAGUUGGUGGGGUAAUAGCCUACCAAGCCGACGAUCUCUAGCUGGUCUGAGAGGAUGACCAGCCACACCGGGACUGAGACACGGCCCGGACUCCUACGGGAGGCAGCAGUGGGGAAUAUUGCGCAAUGGGGGCAACCCUGACGCAGCCAUGCCGCGUGAAUGAAGAAGGCCUUCGGGUUGUAAAGUUCUUUCGGUAUUGAGGAAGGUUGUUGUGUUAAUAGCACGACGAAUUGACGUUAAAUACAGAAGAAGCACCGGCUAACUCCGUGCCAGCAGCCGCGGUAAUACGGAGGGUGCGAGCGUUAAUCGGAAUAACUGGGCGUAAAGGGCACGCAGGCGGACUUUUAAGUGAGGUGUGAAAUCCCCGGGCUUAACCUGGGAAUUGCAUUCCAGACUGGGAGUCUAGAGUACUUUAGGGAGGGGUAGAAUUCCACGUGUAGCGGUGAAAUGCGUAGAGAUGUGGAGGAAUACCGAAGGCGAAGGCAGCCCCUUGGGAAUGUACUGACGCUCAUGUGCGAAAGCGUGGGGAGCAAACAGGAUUAGAUACCCUGGUAGUCCACGCUGUAAACGCUGUCGAUUUGGGGAUUGGGCUUUAAGCUUGGUGCCCGAAGCUAACGUGAUAAAUCGACCGCCUGGGGAGUACGGCCGCAAGGUUAAAACUCAAAUGAAUUGACGGGGGCCCGCACAAGCGGUGGAGCAU